Molecule: long non-coding RNA, 167 nt
Organism: Sitophilus oryzae (rice weevil)
Lineage: Eukaryota; Metazoa; Arthropoda; Insecta; Coleoptera; Curculionidae
Exons: 3
Source: RefSeq, a predicted model, not a curated record
UUUAUGCUUUUCGAAUGAGAUUUUAAUGAAUGUAAAUGACAUAAAGGGGCCUCAAAGAUUACUGUCACAAGAGAAAUGAUUGGAUAUAGAUUUCAAAACUUUACCGAAGAGGAAUUUAAAACCAUGAAUAAGACAAUUCAACAUGCGAAGACAAAAUAUGAAAGAUC